GAGUCACGAGACCCAGCAACGAUUUCAAAGCCUGUUGCAUCAACAGUGCAAAGGACAAGGAUAACCCACGUGGAACCGCUCCCGACGCAGCACGAGAUACAAAGCACAAUACAACCAACGUUAUCAUCUUCGUCGCGUGUCAACAUCAGUGAGGAUCGUGUGGGCACCUAAUUUAUAUGAUCGUGAUCAUACAUUAGUUUAAUGAGCAUAUAGAUUAAUUUUCUAUGUAACGAGUUGCUUUCAGUCUGCUGCAAGUCCUCAGGAUCGUACGCCAUUAGCAUCAGCAGUGACGUUGCUUGCUCUCUUGUGCAGGGUAAGCGUGCAUGAAACGGAGCGUGGCACUGACCAAAGAACGACCCCCUGGUGAAAGUGAUGCUCUCCAACUCGAGUGGGCUUCUUCUUCGUGCAUGACUUCUCUUAGAGGGAAUGCUCCUCUUGUCCUACGGAUGCUGAAGCCAUGCAGACGUCGCCACCCAUCAUUGUCUGGUUCAUACGCUCAGAUAAGAGUAUAUUGAUGCAACUGAGUAUAAAGCAGCAGCUUCGUGGCAGCACACAAAGCGUGAGAGGUUUCGCAGGCGACGACGACUCAUGCAACAGAGGUGCAUCAUAAGAUUUCCAUGGAGCCAGCCAUUUAUUCCCUCUGACGCAGUCUGCCUUCUUCUCCGGCAUGCGGUGAUGAAUAGCGCAUGCAUGGCACAGCAGAUGCCCAAGCGUCAGAGGUCUUACAUCCCUUCACUGCAAGCUGUUCUAAGUAAAAGGUUUGACCACCAGAACAUAUACCUCGUUUGGAGAUCUCCUAAUGAUUUCAUGCUACGGAAAGGAAACACUAAAGGUUCUCGUUCUCCAUUUCUGUAUCCAAAAUAUACAUGUUCUCCAGUUCUGCACCGCACUGCACGAUGGGGUGAAAAGAAGUACACAGGAAGAAGGAUGGGAGGAGGUCUUCUCUUCUUGUUUCCUUCACCGCAUGGCCAUAUGACGGGGUUCCUUCCACCGGAGAAGGACGUCGCGGGCGAUGUUGAGAGC
Molecule: long non-coding RNA, 1023 nt
Filed under: Musa acuminata (dwarf banana)
Lineage: Eukaryota; Viridiplantae; Streptophyta; Magnoliopsida; Zingiberales; Musaceae
Description: long non-coding RNA (MACU_LNC000107)
Source: RNAcentral